GUAAACUAGUAGUUAUUCACUUAUUCAUACAAUAAUUACUAACCAUCUAUAAAUUAAUUACUACUUCCCUACCCAAUCCAUUGCAUUCUUCAUUCAGUCUUCCUCCCUCCCUCCCUCAUAUAUUUACUCUCCUCUACUUUUUAUUUCUUUCUCCUUCCAUAAUCACUUGUUUAUCUUUUAUUUUCUACCUCUUGUUUUCAUAUCCUCGUCCUUAAUUAACUCUAUUAAUAUCUAGUUCUUUCUUUGUUAAGUUUUGGAUCAUUCUACUAAGGAAAUUAUCAAAACAUGAUAUUUACAAUUACAGUUAUGGUUCAACUCAUUUUAUUAUACUCAAAUAUAGUUCAGUUUAUAUUCUACUAAAAUAAUCAGAAUUGUUGUUCCCACAUUUAAUAAGGUUGUGCCACACCAGUAAAAUACGAUUUUGCCCCCUCGGCAGUUAACUGUCGAGAAAUUUGAAAUCCGGCUGCAGUUAACUGCCAAGGAAAACCUCGGUAGUUAACUGCCGAGGUUAACUACCGAGAGAAUGUUUCAUCAGAUGAAACAGUCACCUGCUCCCCCUACAUACUAUUUUCAUCAUCAACUUCAUUUCCACCUCCAUUCAAUCCCAAAAUCCAAUAAUUUUUUUUUAUCAAUUCUUGAUCCAAAAUCAUUCAAGCAUCAAGCAUAGGAGGUAUCAACACACUUUUGACGUAAAAAAACAGUAAUGGUAGAGAACGCGGAAGAUGUUCUGGGAGAGACAAAACAAUAUUUUGUCGAAAUUUCCGGAGAUGUCAAACCACCUAAGGUUGAAGCUAAAUCAAACAUUGAUGGAGCUUCCGUCCAUGUUGAAGCUUCAAAGUAUGUUGGCGGCUCCGGUGUCCUCCCACUUCAAGCCCACGAGGUCGACACGGCUAGGUUUUUUUUCCAGACGAUGUUAAGUCGAAAGAUAGAGAUGAAUUGCUUGAGUGGACGCGUCAUCAAGCAAAUAAGGCGGGAUUUACAAUUGAUGAUUUGAAGGCACAACUUAACACUUAUUUUGAGCAUCUUGGUGAAAAUCAAUAUACACGUCACUUGUUUGGUCAAAUGCCAUGCAUAGACCUGGGAGAAGAUAGAGAUGAAUACGCAUGGAAAACGGUAAGUUAUAUGCCUUGGCUUAUUCGCGACGAUAGCGACGUCAGAUUUAUGUUUCAGAAUAUGGUGGAAGAUAAUAUAUUAUAUAUAUAUGUUCGUUCCAUAUGCAAUUGCAUUGAAUGUAAGUAUGAAUUUAAUUUAAUGAUGUGUAAUGAGUUGUUUAAUUAUGGACACUUAAUUAUGAACACCUUGUAACCUUUUGAUGAAUUUCAAACGUUUGUGUAAUUUGAACCAAAUGUCGGUUUAAUUUAAUUAUGGACAAUUGUAAAAGAUAUUGUAUUUAUCUUGUUUA
Molecule: long non-coding RNA, 1402 nt
Organism: Medicago truncatula (barrel medic)
Lineage: Eukaryota; Viridiplantae; Streptophyta; Magnoliopsida; Fabales; Fabaceae
Exons: 2
Source: RefSeq, a predicted model, not a curated record